RNAcentral lists this ribosomal RNA (426 nucleotides) under uncultured bacterium. Its description in RNAcentral is "bacterial SSU rRNA". It matches the Rfam family "Bacterial small subunit ribosomal RNA", at positions 355 to 773 of the family's 1533-position model. The record is from RNAcentral.
UGGGGAAUUUUGGACAAUGGGCGCAAGCCUGAUCCAGCAAUGCCGCGUGCAGGAUGAAGGCCUUCGGGUUGUAAACUGCUUUUGUACGGAGCGAAAAGGUCUGCCCUAAUACGGUGGGCUCAUGACGGUACCGUAAGAAUAAGCACCGGCUAACUCUGUGCCAGCAGCCGCGGUAAUACAGCGGGUGCAAGCGUUAAUCGGAAUUACUGGGCGUAAAGCGUGCGCAGGCGGUUAUGCAAGACAGAUGUGAAAUCCCCGGGCUUAACCUGGGAACUGCAUUUGUGACUGCAUAGCUAGAGUACGGUAGAGGGGGAUGGAAUUCAGCGUGUAGCAGUGAAAUGCGUAGAUAUGCGGAGGAACACCGAUGGCGAAGGCAAUCCCCUGGACCUGUACUAACGCUCAUGCACGAAAGAGUGGGGAGCAAAC